Long non-coding RNA from Serinus canaria (Common canary), 1326 nucleotides. RefSeq lists it as uncharacterized. The transcript is spliced from 7 exons. The record is from RefSeq and is a predicted model, not a curated record. Lineage: Eukaryota; Metazoa; Chordata; Aves; Passeriformes; Fringillidae.
GGCUGGAACUUCUACAACAAACAGUUGAGGUCUCACUCAAACUCAUGAGCAUCCCACUUGUCUCCUCACUGUGUAAAUCAGGCACAAGCACAAGAGGAAAAAACAUGACAGAUUCUUCCACUGGAAGAUCAAGAACCACAACACUGAAUAUUCCAAGGACGUGAGUUGUGCUCUUGGCUGCCAUUUCCUUCCUGCAGCCUCCCAAAGAAAUCCAUAUCAGCUGACCUGCCAAGAGAUGAGAGCAGAGGGGCUGGGUCAGGAGUGUGACAUCAGACACAGGGGCGUUAUCAACACAGUCAUAAGAAGAAUAAAGAAUGGAGGAGUGAAGAGUGGGGGGAAGAGUAAAACCUUUGGCAUUAACCAAGGAUCAUCACCAGAUUGAUUCCUCCCUUCAUUACAUCCAGCCACAGCAAAUUAAGUGAAGAUACAAUAUGGAAAGGAGAAUUUUCUUAUGUAUGCUACAUAAAAAUCAGGAUGGAAUUAUGAUGACUACAGCUAAUGGAAUAAUUCACCACAAAUAUUUUAUUCAAAUGUAGCCUUUUUUCCUGCUGGGGGAAUAGCUCUGAGAUCAUGCAUUUCCUCAUGAAGUUCAAUAUUGAGUUCAACAUUUUCAUGUAAAUCUCUGAGCUGGACAAAUUGCAAGUGAAGGAGGUAAAAGACUCCCAGGAAUCUGUUGUGAAAGGCUGAUGAUUACAGCUGGGAUUCCUCCUGGAUGAGAAAACCAUCCCUUGGCUGACGGCGUGGCUGCAUCUUGGAACAUCAAGCGAGGUCUUUAUGUAAAUCUGAGUGUUCUUCUGCUUGUUCUGCUGCAAAAGCCAAUCUCACUGGGACACAGAAGGAAAUCCAGUGAGACAAGGACAGACAUAGCAACGUACUGACCUAAUUCUUCAGGUUGUGCAGCUGUGUACUCACUAUUUUAAGAGAUAAAUGAAUAACAGUCUCUCCGUUCUCCAGUGUAAAUUGACCAGAGCCUCCUCAUGUCAGUGAAGCCACAUGAAGUUGUGAAAACUGAGUGCCUGGGGCUAAAUGUUAGCUGGAGAAAGAAAAGGUAGCCACAGCAUCAUACUUCUGAAAAUGACUGUGACCAUACAACAUUUUAACAUUUUCAGGUAAAAACUGUGAUCUAGUAAAAAAAAAGAAAAACAACAACAAAACAAGCAAACAAAAAACUUGUAUCUGUGAUGAUAGGACUUUGUUGAUGUUCACUGGGGUAUUACAACAAAGAUCUUAUGGUGCCCAAGGUUAUCACAUUGUUCAAACAGAUUUUUCUCAGAAGGGAUGUUUUCUGCCUUUUCAGCUAUUCUUUCUUUUUGUUUUUUGUUUUUU